UUUUACCUACGGGGGGCAGCAGUGAGGAAUAUUGGUCAAUGGGAGAGAUCCUGAACCAGCCACGCCGCGUGAGGGAAGACGGCCCUAUGGGUUGUAAACCUCUUUUGUCGGAGAACAAAACCCGGGACGUGUCCCGGACUGCGUGUAUCCGAAGAAAAAGCAUCGGCUAACUCCGUGCCAGCAGCCGCGGUAAUACGGAGGAUGCGAGCGUUAUCCGGAUUUAUUGGGUUUAAAGGGUGCGCAGGCGGGCUGUUAAGCCGGCGGUAAAAA
This 270-nucleotide ribosomal RNA is filed under the name uncultured bacterium. RNAcentral's name for it is "partial 16S ribosomal RNA". It matches the Rfam family "Bacterial small subunit ribosomal RNA", at positions 333 to 600 of the family's 1533-position model. The record is from RNAcentral.